CUGGGUUUCUAUUGUUUUGGAUGCCAAAGCAUUGAGAGUGCAUGGAUUAUUCGAAGAAGUAUAUUAUCUAAAGGAAUGAGGGGAGUCAGAAAAGAACUAAAGUGGAGUCAGAGUGGGAAGAAGAAGAAUAAGCAAGAAGGUUCGAAAAAUUGAAUAAUCUUUCUCCUGCGUUCAGAUUGGAGUUAAUUACUCCAAGUUUAUACAACAGUAAAGGUAUAAUUUUUGUUAACUUUGUUUCAAGAAAACAAUAUAAAUAAUCCUUGUGCAAUUUAAUUUAGGUCAUUUUAGUUUUGAUUAAAAAAAUGAAAAUCUCAUUUCUUAUUGUGUAAAUAAUUGUAUUCAUUACAUUCAUAGGUUGAGUUGCCUAGGAAUAGGUUCUAAAAUCUAGAGUUCAAAUGUUAAUUUCUUUACUUUUGCACCAUAAUUCUUAGCCACCAAACAUUGCUUAAUUGGUUUUUGUUCUCUGAAGUUCUUUGGCUUUGUGUUUUGACCUAUGGAUGGAGCUACUUUGAUUAUUGUGUUUACAGGUUAAGAUAAAAGUGCACCAACAUGUCAUCGUGAUGUCUACUGAGUUUGAAGUGCACUCUACUACUGUCUCCAACCCUAAAUAGUAUGUAUGGUGGUAAUGAGUAUGUUUUCUCUUUUAUGUAGCCUAAUGCAUUUAUAUGAAACCCUAAACCUUUAUAUAUGGAUGAAAGGGUUAAAAUUGUCUAUUUCUUAUGUAGCCUAAUGCAUUGAUUAAGCAACCUUGAAUUGCACUCCUUUGAUGUAUUCAACCCUAAACUAAUAUGUUUGUAUGUAACAUUCGUGCUACCAAUGAAUUUAUACAAAACCUUAAACCUAUAUAUAUGGAUGAAAGAAUUUCAAACAUGUAUCCCAUGUGUAAUCUAGUAUAUUGAUUAUCGAGAUAUCUUAUUUGCUUUGUUGUUAAGUAGUUGUG
Molecule: long non-coding RNA, 940 nt
Organism: Vitis vinifera (wine grape)
Lineage: Eukaryota; Viridiplantae; Streptophyta; Magnoliopsida; Vitales; Vitaceae
Exons: 3
Source: RefSeq, a predicted model, not a curated record